AGUGGAGCAAUCCAUGAGUAAAGUGGCGCACGGGUGAGUAACACGUGAAUGAUCUACCUCCGAGUGGGGAAUAACCUAGAGAAAUCUGGGCUAAUACCGCAUAACACUUACGAGUCAAAGCAGCAAUGCGCUUGGAGAGGAGUUCGCGGCCGAUUAGUUAGUUGGCGGGGUAAUGGCCCACCAAGACGAUGAUCGGUAUCCGGCCUGAGAGGGCGCACGGACACACUGGAACUGAAACACGGUCCAGACUCCUACGGGAGGCAGCAGUGGGGAAUUUUGCGCAAUGGGGGAAACCCUGACGCAGCAACGCCGCGUGGAGGAUGAAAUCCCUUGGGAUGUAAACUCCUUUCGAUCGGGACGAUCAUGACGGUACCGGAAGAAGAAGCCCCGGCUAACUUCGUGCCAGCAGCCGCGGUAAUACGAGGGGGGCAAGCGUUGUUCGGAAUUAUUGGGCGUAAAGGGCGCGUANGCGGUUUGACAAGUCUGAUGUGAAAUCUCUGGGCUC
RNAcentral lists this ribosomal RNA (505 nucleotides) under uncultured bacterium. RNAcentral describes it as "bacterial SSU rRNA". It matches the Rfam family "Bacterial small subunit ribosomal RNA", at positions 73 to 610 of the family's 1533-position model. The record is from RNAcentral.